UAAAGAAUAAUAACCCAAUAAAUAAAUUUAAACAACAAAAAUAAGUGUUAAAUAUAUUUUUCUCCUGCAAUGUGAUUGAGUUUUGAUUUACCCCCUCCUGUAAAUUAUUAUUUUUGAAUUCCUCUUUGUAAUGUAAAGACUUUGUUACUUUGACCUCUUAGGUAACAACUUAGCAAAAAAUCAUCGAUUUUGUUGGCGUGGCCUAUCUAGCUGGUUUUUU
RNAcentral lists this long non-coding RNA (220 nucleotides) under Lathyrus oleraceus (garden pea). RNAcentral describes it as "Pisum sativum (pea) long non-coding RNA (PSAT_LNC035700)". The record is from RNAcentral. Lineage: Eukaryota; Viridiplantae; Streptophyta; Magnoliopsida; Fabales; Fabaceae.